This 235-nucleotide long non-coding RNA is filed under the name Brachypodium distachyon (stiff brome). Its description in RNAcentral is "long non-coding RNA (BDIS_LNC004075)". Lineage: Eukaryota; Viridiplantae; Streptophyta; Magnoliopsida; Poales; Poaceae. The record is from RNAcentral.
CACGGUGGCGUCGAGGGUGCCGUUCUCCAUGGCCACCUCGGCCAGCGCCGUCGCGUAGCUCUCGGCGGCCGCGUCCUCGCCGGCUCUGGGCCGGAGGAGGUCGCCGCGGCGGCGGCGGGGCGGGGCGAGGCGGAGGGAAGGGAGGCCCCGGGCCACCGCGCAGGCGAAGGAGGCCGUGCGGGGCGCCGCGGCGGCCGCGGAGGAAGGAGAUGCGGCCGGGCGGAGCGCGACGGAG